AAGUCCUGUAAGCACAGCAAAAGUAGUGGCAUGAACAGUUUCUGUACUCCCUUUAAGUGUAGCUUGGAAGAGUCAGCAGGUAAAACAAUGGUAUUGGGUACCAAAGCACAAGUUGCUUCCAGAGAAGUGCUGGAUUCUUCUAUAUUUCUGCCUAGGAAACAAGGAAAUGUAGGUAAAGCUUCAGAAACUGUUGGUAAUGUCGGUGAGAGAGGUGGUGAAAGGGUUCUGGGAAUGAUUGCAGACCUGAUGAUACAGAGGAUUGAUGUUCCUAACUCCAGUCUGCUGAAAACGAAAAAUGAAGAACUUGCAAGUCGAGGUAAACUAGAGCUUCCCUGUGAGGUGGAUGAUGGAUUGGAGGUGGCUUCAGGAGUUGCAAGAGAAAUGGAGCCAGAGGUUAGUAUAUAUAGGGAGGCCUCAGGAAGCUCGUUUUCGACAGAAGAGAAAACUGGUGAUAUAGUUAAUCUGAAUUCCAUUGACUCUUCAUAUCCAGAUAAAAAUGAUAGCCUGAUAGAAACUGAACCUAGAAGCAAGUCAUAUAAUGUUCAAGUUAAGUCUGAAAACUUAUAUUCCACCAAGGUGAUGGGGGAAGAUCCGAAAUUGUCAAUGAAAAAUCAGCAGCUGUGCAUAGAGGUGAAAGAGCAAUCACAAGAGAGGGGUCUUGGAACAUGUCAAGCUAAUGAUGGGCUUUGUGGUCGGGGAUCAUCUCCCUUGACUACACCUAAAGAUGUGGUUGGUGGUGGAUUUGAUCUGAAUGAAGGUAUCCUGGCAGAUGAAGUGGAGUACCCUAAACAGCUGGUGAAUGAAACUUCAUCGUCCUGUCAUGUGGUGAAUGUGUCAGCGCCAAUACCUGUGGUAGCUAAAUCCAGGGUUCCCUUGUGCUUACCCAUGCCUCCAUUGCAGUUUGAAGGACAGCUAUGUUGGAAGGGUUCUGCAGCAACUAGUGCUUUUCGGCCAGCUUCUGUUUCUCAUAGUCCUAAUAAAAGGAAGGCACUUUCCAACAGUGAUGAUAACCAUAGUUCAAGACACUCACAGGGUUUGAAGGGGUUUGACCUCAAUGUUGCAGCUGAAGAGUCUUCCCUGGAAGUUAGUCCAAAACGAGCUGAAAGGCCUAAU
Molecule: long non-coding RNA, 1113 nt
Filed under: Vitis vinifera (wine grape)
Lineage: Eukaryota; Viridiplantae; Streptophyta; Magnoliopsida; Vitales; Vitaceae
Description: long non-coding RNA (VVIN_LNC006193)
Source: RNAcentral